GGACGUUACAUCUUGGCAGCAUGCAGUGCAAUGCGACGGAUGUCAACGCUGGCAACACCGAUGCUGUUGUCAAGCCAGAUGGAAACUGCAUGAUCACCAACACCACCACCUUUACCGGGUCCCAUGUAAACAGCUCCUGCACGAUCGCCAACACCACCAUUAGACGUCCAAGAUGGUCCAGAUGACAUCGUUGGUGUUGGAAUCCCUUACGAAUGGAAUGAGCCUCUUGAGGAAGACAGCAUGGACAAUGACACUGUGGAUGGUGACCUCCCGAUGAAUGACGAGGUCACAUACGACCUUGUAGUGUCAUCCUCACAACGGCGGAAUCUACUCACAGACUCAAGGGGGUACAGCUACACCGUCAAGAAGGUUCGGGGUGAGAAGACGUACUGGAGAUGCGCCGUCCGUAACAAGACCAUCCAGUGCGGUGCGUCUGUGAUACAGACGGGAGACCACUUCGAAGCGGGGUCGGUCGAGCACAACCACCCUGGGAAGCCAGGGAACAACGUUGUGGCUCGCCUGAUCACCAAGGUGAAGGAUAGGGCCGUUGCCAUUACGUUCAGGUCAGCUACUGCAAUCACUAACGAAGCGAUUGGAGAAACAGUAUCGGACGCUCCCCUACCAGCUUUGCCAAAGCCCAUCAACCUAGCUCGCUAAGCAAAUCGUGCUCGGCAGAGGUUGAGACCGCAGGACCCCAACGACCUGGACUUUGAUUUCCAAGAAGACUUCAUUGAUGAGGAUUUCCUCCGCAAAGACAUCAGGCGGGGGAAGGAGAGACAUCUUGUUUUUGCAGCAAGGCACCAGUUGACAUUACUGGCCAGCAGCAAACGAUGGUAUGUGGAUGGAACAUUCAAGGUGGUGACCAAGCCAUUUUCACAGCCGUUCUCCAUUCACGCUUUCGUUAAGCGUGAUGGGGAGAUGAAACAGGUCCCUCUGUGUUUUGUCUUGAUGCUGUCGAGGCUGAGAUGAGAUUACAGGAUGUCCAAGUUGAGCAAUGCAUGCUCGACUUUGAGGUGUCAGCCUGGAAGGCCAUGCAGGAGGUAUUCCCGGAGGUCCAGUGCCAUGCAGGAUGUGUUCCACUGGAAACAAGCGGU
This 1094-nucleotide unclassified non-coding RNA is filed under the name Acanthaster planci (crown-of-thorns starfish). Its description in RNAcentral is "uncharacterized LOC110980464, transcript variant X1". The record is from RNAcentral. Lineage: Eukaryota; Metazoa; Echinodermata; Asteroidea; Valvatida; Acanthasteridae.